AUUAAAUCUCUCAUAAAUAUUGAAUCCAAAUCCGAUGGGCAAUUAGGCAUCAGAGAUCAUCGAUAUGAAACCCUGAUCAAAGAGUUCAAAUUUCAAAUUCAAAAUUUGAAAUUCAAAAUUUUGAUCCCGGUACCCAAAAUAUGUGGAACUCAUGAUCAGAGAAUCCUAAUUCUCAAUCAUAGAGUCCCAGACACAUAAGACUCAUAAUCAGCCAUCAGAUCAGAAAGGAACCUCUAAUGUGUGUGACCCCGAAGGUUCGAACCUAAGCGGGUAGCACAGGAAUCAAUUUCUGUACUAAUCGAAGUGACCAUCUAGCAAUGGUACCCGACGAUCGGAUAGGUCGAAUAGUCACAAUCGCAACAUUCAGA
This 368-nucleotide long non-coding RNA is filed under the name Elaeis guineensis (African oil palm). Its description in RNAcentral is "long non-coding RNA (EGUI_LNC080081)". The record is from RNAcentral. Lineage: Eukaryota; Viridiplantae; Streptophyta; Magnoliopsida; Arecales; Arecaceae.